Molecule: ribosomal RNA, 402 nt
Filed under: uncultured bacterium
Lineage: Bacteria
Description: bacterial SSU rRNA
Rfam family: Bacterial small subunit ribosomal RNA
Source: RNAcentral
UGGGGAAUAUUGCACAAUGGGCGAAAGCCUGAUGCAGCAACGCCGCGUGAGCGAAGAAGGCCUUUGGGUCGUAAAGCUCUGUCGAGAAGGAAGAUAAUGACGGUACUUCUCGAGGAAGCCCCGGCUAACUACGUGCCAGCAGCCGCGGUAAUACGUAGGGGGCGAGCGUUAUCCGGAAUUAUUGGGCGUAAAGAGUGCGUAGGUGGUUGUUUAAGCGUGGGGUGAAAGGCAAUAGCUUAACUAUUGUAAGCCCCGCGAACUGGGCGACUUGAGUGCAGGAGAGGAAAGCGGAAUUCCUAGUGUAGCGGUGAAAUGCGUAGAUAUUAGGAGGAACACCAGUGGCGAAGGCGGCUUUCUGGACUGUAACUGACACUGAGGCACGAAAGCGUGGGGAGCAAACAG